This 445-nucleotide ribosomal RNA is filed under the name uncultured bacterium. RNAcentral describes it as "bacterial SSU rRNA". It matches the Rfam family "Bacterial small subunit ribosomal RNA", at positions 330 to 792 of the family's 1533-position model. The record is from RNAcentral.
ACCAGACUCCUACGGGAGGCAGCAGUGGGGGAUAUUGCACAAUGGGGGAAACCCUGAUGCAGCGACGCCGCGUGGGCGAAGAAGUAUUUCGGUAUGUAAAGCCCUAUCAGCAGGAAAGAAAAUGACGGUACCUGACUAAGAAGCCCCGGCUAACUACGUGCCAGCAGCCGCGGUAAUACGUAGGGGGCAAGCGUUAUCCGGAUUUACUGGGUGUAAAGGGAGCGUAGACGGCAGUGCAAGUCCGGAGUGAAAGCCCGGGGCUCAACCCUGGGACUGCUCUGGAAACUGUAAAGCUGGAGUGCGGGAGGGGCAGGCGGAAUUCCUGGUGUAGCGGUGAAAUGCGUAGAUAUCAGGAGGAACACCGGCGGCGAAGGCGGCCUGCUGGACCGUAACUGACGUUGAGGCUCGAAAGCGUGGGGAGCAAACAGGAUUAGAUACCCCCGUA